This 337-nucleotide unclassified non-coding RNA is filed under the name Hevea brasiliensis (rubber tree). The record is from RNAcentral. Lineage: Eukaryota; Viridiplantae; Streptophyta; Magnoliopsida; Malpighiales; Euphorbiaceae.
GAACCCUUGAUUUGAACCAUUCUGCAGAGGUUUUGGAGGUGGCAAAGAGGAGAAUUUAUGAUAUCACAAAUGUACUCGAGGGAAUUGGAUUAAUUGAGAAAACUACAAAGAGUCGUAUACGUUGGAAAGGGUUCCAGUCAACAAAAUCUCAAGGGCUGGAUAACCAAGUAUCUACACUGAAGGGACAAAUUGGAUAUCUAAGUGCAGAGGAUCGCCGACUUGAUAGCUGCAUAAGGGAAAAACUAGAGCAAAUAAGGAACCUGGAAUCUGAUGUGAAUUGUCAGAAGAGCCUCUUUCUGACUGAGGAAGAAAUCAGAAACUUGCCUUAUUUCAGGGA